RNAcentral lists this ribosomal RNA (253 nucleotides) under uncultured bacterium. Its description in RNAcentral is "partial 16S ribosomal RNA". It matches the Rfam family "Bacterial small subunit ribosomal RNA", at positions 524 to 776 of the family's 1533-position model. The record is from RNAcentral.
UACAGAGGUCCCAAGCGUUGUUCGGAUUCAUUGGGCGUAAAGGGUGCGUAGGUGGCGCGGUAAGUCGGGUGUGAAAUCUCGGAGCUUAACUCCGAAAUUGCAUUCGAUACUGCCGUGCUUGAGGACUGGAGAGGAGACUGGAAUUCAUGGUGUAGCAGUGAAAUGCGUAGAGAUCAUGAGGAAGACCAGUGGCGAAGGCGGGUCUCUGGACAGUUCCUGACGCUGAGGCACGAAGGCCAGGGGAGCAAACGGG